AGCAACAGAGAAGAGAAGGAGGAGGUGGGAAAGAGAAUUCACUGUACUAGCAUCCAGAACUCUUGCCUUUUCCCAUUUGGAAAUUCCAAACCAAAGGGAUUCUGCAGUUUGAAGCAAAUAAAUCAAAAACGCCUUGGAUUUUGAGGAACGUCUUUCCCAUCCAAUCGUGUAGUCCUGCACUUACUUGUAUUCACCCUCCUCUGUUCUGGAGGGUGACAAUAGGUAAACAGCCACGCCCCCAAUAGAUUUCAAUAGGCUUCUGGAGGGAAAACUCAGACCGCUGAGGUGGGAACACUUAUUUGUCAGGAAGGAAUUGGGUGCCUUGGACGGAGAGCAGGCGGGGCCAGAGAAGUUGGAAUGAAGCCGAGGAAAAGUUCCUGAGAGGGAGGAGGCAAGGAGAAGAAUCUCUUCCACGUGACCUAGUUUCAGUUAUCACUGGGGCAGAGAAAUGACUUCUGUCUUGAGCCACGGGACAUGCUUAUAAUAAUCUGGCAGAAAGCCACAUGUUAACUGACUGAGUCCUCCUCCUGUGGAAUCAGGUUUUAUGCUGCAUAAUAAACAAAAGCCUUGAAGAUAAAUUCCAUCGCUGAUACUGAUGGAGGUGAAUGUAGGUUUGGGAAAUCCAACAUGAUCAAUCAUUUAUUUAUUUGUAUAUUGAUUAAAGCUUUUUAUUUUCAAACCAUA
Antechinus flavipes (yellow-footed antechinus) is the source of this 684-nucleotide long non-coding RNA. RefSeq lists it as uncharacterized. Lineage: Eukaryota; Metazoa; Chordata; Mammalia; Dasyuromorphia; Dasyuridae. The transcript has 2 exons. The record is from RefSeq and is a predicted model, not a curated record.